Molecule: ribosomal RNA, 253 nt
Filed under: uncultured bacterium
Lineage: Bacteria
Description: partial 16S ribosomal RNA
Rfam family: Bacterial small subunit ribosomal RNA
Source: RNAcentral
UACGAACUGUGCGAACGUUAUUCGGAUUCACUGGGCUUAAAGGGUGCGUAGGCGGCCGAUUAAGUAGGGUGUGAAAGCCCCCGGCUCAACCGGGGAAUGGCGCCCUAAACUGGCCGGCUGGAGUGAGACAGGGGUGUGCGGAACUUCCGGUGGAGCGGUGAAAUGUGUUGAUAUCGGAAGGAACGCCGGUGGCGAAAGCGGCACACUGGGUCUCAACUGACGCUGAGGCACGAAAGCCAGGGUAGCGAACGGG